GCACACUCAGCCCUCCCAUCACUGGAGAGAGAUGUGAGGACGCCCCUCUAUGUGUAUGUGGGGCGACAUGGAGGCCUCAAAGCGCUUAGCUGUGUGUGACUGAAUGAAGCUGAAAGAUUGACUUCAGUGAAGCCUAAACUAACUGUCAGUGUUUGAAAUUUAGGUUUUUGCAGCAAGUAAAAGCACAGUGAAGUUAUGAGCAACUUACUGCCUGGUUAAACUUUUGUCAUUUAUUUAGGAAAAGGACAUAAAACAAUUGAUUCAUGCACAUAGAGGCUGUUAAAGCAUAGAAAUAAGGCAGUGGCAUGUGUGGGGGCAACCUUUAGUAAAUCAAUUUGUUCAUGAAAUCAAUGUUGCUUAUUUAAUUAAUUUAUGUAUUACUUUAUUUGUUUAUUUAUUGGGACAUUGUGAAAAAAUUUGAACAAGAAGGAAUUGAAUGUGUUUGAAGCUUCCGUGGUCUCACUAAGCAGUUUACAAGGAAAUUGCGAAACAGACAAAACAAAAGCAUUUGUAUGCUUAUAUAUAUAUAUAUAUAUAUAUAUAUAUAUAUAUAUAUAUAUAUAUAUAUAUAUAUAUAUAUAUAUAUAUAUAUACAGUGUGUUCAUUUACUUUUCAUUUACUGAGUAUAACAUCAGAAGAAUGUUAAUGUUUUUGCUGUAAUUUUGCUUUUCUUAGCUGACGUCGUUUACUCUGGAAAGUUUCCUCUUUGUGCCAGUCUCCAACGCCACCUCAUUUUUGUACAGAAAAUGCAAAGGCAGAAGAUGAAGGUUAAAUUUGUAGAGAUUCUGUCUGUCACACUACAAAAAUGGAUAUUUAAAUGUUUAUAUCUUUGUUCAUUAAAUGCUGUUGAUAUUUUUCACUUCAGCUAUGAUUCCUUAUUGUUCUUUACUGAUUUAUUUCAAGACAGUGUCUCGAGGUUCGGCCCUUGGACACAUUAGUGGCGGCCGCCAACGUCAGAUGAAAUACUAGUAAGCACAAAUGUUUCAGGAAAAGUGUCAGUAUCAUAAAAAAAUCCUAUGUAGGAACGUAUAAAACUAAUAGUAUAUGAUAAAGAAGUCGUUAAUGACGUCCUACUAGGACAUUGAAAUACAAAAACAUUUUAUAUUCAAAAUGUCAUGUAAAUAGUCAUAGUACAGUAUGUCAUAAAAAAAAGUCAUAAUAUAGUAUUUUAAAAACAUUUCAUGUAAAAAAAAAAAAUCUUAAAAAAAAGAUCCAAAAUUUCCAAAUACGUUUUUUCAACAAAAACAUCAUAAAUAUUUGUUAUAAUAUAGUAUGACAAAUAAAAGGACAUACAAUGGUCUUUUAUAUUAUGUCAAAAUAAUGUCAUGUAAAAGUCAAACUAUAAUAUGUCAAUAAAUGUCACUUGAAAAGAACAUCUCUUCCACCAUCUAAUUCAGAGAUAUUCGGUGUCAGCUGUCAGAGAUUAUAACAUAGAGAGUAUUGGGAGGCUUGGCGAGGACCAGAAAAGAAAUCCGAGAGUCAGGCAGCUUGUGUGAAUGUCAUGGACAUUUGCUCAUAAUGUCAGUCAGUAAAGAUAUCAAAACGCUCAGCGGAGGUCGUCAGGGGAAAGAUGAUAGGUCGCUGGCGGACAUUAAAAGCUCUAUGUGGGACUUUUGUUUUGACUCCUCUGAUUUAUCGAACAAACAGUCCUGCAGGCCAGCUGGUUUCUAUGGUUUUGUUUGGAUUAGUUAUACGCUCCGUCCAGCAGGCAUUGUGCCUCGUUGUGGGGCUUUAAGAGAAAUGCGUCGUCUGAUAUAGCCAUGAUAUCAGACCCUCAGUGUUUGGCAAAGCAGUUUGGCUCAUUUCAUUUUAAUGCAUCAUAUGAAGUAUAACCAGCAGACCUCAGAGGCUCGUCUCUCACAAGCUCAACAUCAGAGAUACUGAGCAGAAGCUUUCAGGAGAGACGAGGUCUGCUGCAGAACAUAACUCCCGGUUGGAUUCAGGAGCAAACAGGUGCGGUAAGAUUAGUGGUGGCCAGCUGUCGUUGGUCACAAUGUCAAUGAAACGGAGCCACACAGCACUGGAUGGUGGCUUUCAUCCCAGAAGAUCUGUGUACUUUAACUCCUACUCUGCUUUGAGGAAGAGCAGUGUUGCGCUCAAUAAAACACACUUCAUCUUCCCUCA
This is a non-coding RNA of Gasterosteus aculeatus aculeatus (three-spined stickleback), 2124 nucleotides long. NCBI's taxonomy places the organism in Eukaryota, Metazoa, Chordata, Actinopteri, Perciformes, Gasterosteidae. The record is from RefSeq and is a predicted model, not a curated record.